RNAcentral lists this ribosomal RNA (254 nucleotides) under uncultured bacterium. RNAcentral describes it as "partial 16S ribosomal RNA". It matches the Rfam family "Bacterial small subunit ribosomal RNA", at positions 526 to 779 of the family's 1533-position model. The record is from RNAcentral.
CGUAGGGGCAAGCGUUAUCCGGAUUUACUGGGGUGUAAAGGGAGCGCAGGCGGUGCGGCAAGUCUGAUGUGAAAGCCCGGGGCUCAACCCCGGGACUGCAUUGGAAACUGUCGUACUUGAGUAUCGGAGAGGUAAGUGGAAUUCCUAGUGUAGCGGUGAAAUGCGUAGAUAUUAGGAGGAACACCAGUGGCGAAGGCGGCUUACUGGACGAUAACUGACGCUGAGGCUCGAAAGCGUGGGGAGCAAACAGGAUU